This is a long non-coding RNA of Bos indicus x Bos taurus (hybrid cattle), 537 nucleotides long. The record is from Ensembl. NCBI's taxonomy places the organism in Eukaryota, Metazoa, Chordata, Mammalia, Artiodactyla, Bovidae.
AUGCUGCAUGCGAGAUGCGGGAUGCUGGGCACUGGAGGCCCGGGACGCGGGUCCGAGAGCGCGGAAGGGGCGGGGCUGGGCAGCCUAAGAGGCCGCGCUCGCUCCGGACCGCCCUGCCCCAUGUUCCUCCCCGCGUCCCUCCGGCUCCUGGCGCUUCGUAGAGCCCAAAGGCUGAGAGGGGUUAGAGGCGCCGAUCACACCCUAGAAGUCGUUUAUGUCGAGCUGUGGAUGUUACAAGCGUUAUUUGGCCAGGACAGCGAGAUGCUGGCGGCCUUCUACGGGUGGUUCAGGGUCUCCCUCGUGGUCAGCGCAGUCCCAGGAUGCGGAGUCCUGGUCUUCAUCAUCGGAUCGCCCCUUUACCAGUAUGUGACCAAGUUCCUCAUCGUGGCAAUAUGUUUCCAGCUUCGGGUCCGCCGAAAUCGAGGUGAGGGGUUUCAGGAGCCCUGGCCAGGAAUGCUUCCUUCGGCCAGCAGUCUGGCCAGAGCUCGGACCAGACAGCUGCUAAAUUCUACGCGGGCCUGGAGGCGCUCGGGUUAA